Long non-coding RNA from Oncorhynchus tshawytscha (Chinook salmon), 1016 nucleotides. Lineage: Eukaryota; Metazoa; Chordata; Actinopteri; Salmoniformes; Salmonidae. The record is from Ensembl.
CCCCAUUAUGUUCGAAGGGGUGUUCCUGUCAGGGUUAAUGCUUAGGAGGGAUGGGUUUGGGAACACCUGGGCCUUGCUGGGGGAGAGGUGGCUGGGAGGCAGGAGGUUGGUUCCAAUUGUUGUUUUCUCCAUACCUAAGUGGCAUAUUAAAACUAAAAUCAACAUUAAAAAAUAAAAAAUACAACUAAGGUGUAUGUAAUAUGGACACUCUUCCCCCCCAAUUUGCUACGAUAAAGCAUUAAUACCUGGGUCCUGAUGUAGAGGAUGGUGGAUAUGUAGGCAUUGGCUGGAAACAGAUGAAGAGAGCAGAAUUACUACCACACGUAAACUGGUUAAUUAGUCAUGUACUGGAAAAGGUCCUAGGUCUGUUUGUGUUGUAUAGCCCACUCCCAUGACCAGGCUAGAUCUGUUUGUGUUGUAUAGCCCACUCCCAUGACCAGGCUAGAUCUGUUUGUGUUGUAUAGCCCACUCCCAUGACCAGGCUAGAUCUGUUUGUGUUGUAUAGCCCCCUCCCAUGACCAGGCUAGAUCUGUUUGUGUUGUAUAGCCCACUCCCAUGACCAGGCUAGAUCUGUUUGUGUUGUAUAGCCCACUCCCAUGACCAGGCUAGAUCUGUUUGUGUUGUAUAGACCACUCCCAUGACCAGGCUAGAUCUGUUUGUGUUGUAUAGCCCACUCCCAUGACCAGGCUAGAUCUGUUUGUGUUGUACAGCCCACUCCCAUGACCAGGCUAGAUCUGUUUGUGUUGUAUAGCCCACUCCCAUGACCAGGCUAGAUCUGUUUGUGUUGUAUAGACCACUCCCAUGACCAGGCUAGAUCUGUUUGUGUUGUAUAGACCACUCCCAUGACCAGGCUAGAUCUGUUUGUGUUGUAUAGCCCACUCCCAUGACCAGGCUAGAUCUGUUUGUGUUGUAUAGCCCACUCCCAUGACCAGGCUAGAUCUGUUUGUGUUGUAUAGACCACUCCCAUGACCAGGCUAGAUCUGUUUGUGUUGUAUAGCCCACUCCCAUGACCAGGC